RNAcentral lists this long non-coding RNA (458 nucleotides) under Homo sapiens (human). RNAcentral describes it as "HSALNT0350828". Lineage: Eukaryota; Metazoa; Chordata; Mammalia; Primates; Hominidae. The record is from RNAcentral.
AGCCCCUCUAACGUCAGGCUGGCAGUAUCUUGGGUUCAAUUAACAAGAAAGUCUACAGUAACAUUUUGUCAAUGGGGAAGGACUUGAAUUCACAGAACUGUCUCGGAAAGCCCUGGUCCUCGCAGUCCGCCUGAGAGAGUAGAGAAGACCCCCUCCCAGAACCUUCCUGUAAGGUCUCCCCGCUGACUUCCUGUAGUGGAUGUGACUGUGUGCCAGGUGCCUGCCGAAGACCCCUGUCACUGACUGUGCCCUUUGGGAAAGAGUCAACAAUGGCCUCCUCCUAUGGCUGACUUCGUUCAUGUUCAGGCUCUCCAGCUUGCUAGUGAGAAUUGCCAAGGAUUGGUUCAUGGCAGGAUAGAACUAAACUGAUAGAUGAAAGCUCCACAGUGCUUCAAGACGGGGUCCCGUUCAUGUUAAGCAGUUUUCCUUCCUUCAAAAUAAAAAACUAGCAGUCCUUA